This is a long non-coding RNA of Empidonax traillii (willow flycatcher), 533 nucleotides long. RefSeq lists it as uncharacterized. The transcript is spliced from 4 exons. The record is from RefSeq and is a predicted model, not a curated record. NCBI's taxonomy places the organism in Eukaryota, Metazoa, Chordata, Aves, Passeriformes, Tyrannidae.
UGGACGUGGCUAAGCCAGACAUUGGUCCAUCCCCGUUUCCAAGGGUUGAUGGCAUCACAUGCAAUCCCAGUCCAACAAACACUCACGGGUGUGGAAUGAGCAAUGUGAGUAAAACCAGUGAGACCCUCCUGGGACUCCAGUUAUUCUCCUGUCUGGAGGUCCAGGUUUGCAUCCAACACACAGGAGAGGCAGAGAAGGAAGGAGUGGGGGAUUCAUAAGGGCUGCAGAUGUCCUGCCUGCUGGGCAGCUGGGGGAGAAGGAAGUUUUUCCUUAUGAAAUCCCAGUGGAUACAGCACUGAGGGCACUGUGAGAAAAUGAUGGAUUUAUGGAUGGAGCAGUUUCCCCACGAUGUGAACUCCAGAGCUGACACACACAGAAAAAGCCUUUCAGCGCUGGGUACAAGCUAGAAAUAAUGGGAGGUGAAGCUUGUCCCUGAGAAAAGAGCCUUAAAAUAAUAAAGUGUACACUGGGAAGGGGAGGAGAGGGGGGAAAUAGAUUACCCAUUCCCAGCAGUACAAUACCAGUAACACCAG